This 65-nucleotide transfer RNA is filed under the name Mortierella alpina. RNAcentral describes it as "tRNA-Gly". The stretch from base 10 to 63 matches the Rfam family "tRNA", at positions 10 to 63 of the family's 71-position model. Rfam says of the family: Transfer RNA (tRNA) molecules are approximately 80 nucleotides in length. Lineage: Eukaryota; Fungi; Mortierellomycota; Mortierellomycetes; Mortierellales; Mortierellaceae. The record is from RNAcentral.
GUUGCGCUCUUUUAGUGGUAUAAUUACCGCCUGCCACGCGGUAGACCCGGGUUCGAUUCCCGGAC